This 70-nucleotide small nucleolar RNA is filed under the name Pelusios castaneus (West African mud turtle). RNAcentral's name for it is "Small nucleolar RNA SNORD73 (ENSPCEG00000000628.1)". It matches the Rfam family "Small nucleolar RNA SNORD73". From Rfam's summary of the family: U73 is a member of the C/D class of snoRNA which contain the C (UGAUGA) and D (CUGA) box motifs. U73 is encoded within the introns of ribosomal protein S3a and contains a 12nt region of complementarity to a conserved sequence in 28S ribosomal RNA. U73 is therefore thought to function as a 2'-O-ribose methylation guide for pre-rRNA. Lineage: Eukaryota; Metazoa; Chordata; Testudines; Pelomedusidae. The record is from Rfam by way of RNAcentral.
AAUGAAUGAUGACAACAUGUUUCGGUCCCAGAUGACACUAAGUGAUUAUACUCUCCCAUUUUCUGACAUU